This 335-nucleotide long non-coding RNA is filed under the name Carica papaya (papaya). Its description in RNAcentral is "long non-coding RNA (CPAP_LNC004429)". The record is from RNAcentral. Lineage: Eukaryota; Viridiplantae; Streptophyta; Magnoliopsida; Brassicales; Caricaceae.
UUGGACAGCCUUGUUAUCUCCCCUCCAAUUCGGUCUCCAAUUGGAAUUUUGGGCCAUGUAAGUGUUGGCUUGCCUUGUGUUCCCCUUUCUCUUUAAUUGUCUUUCAAUCUUUAUAGCCAUGUGCACCAUAUCAUCAAUCUCCACAUAAUGUUGAAGCUCUACAAUGUUGGCUAUGUCUUUGUUAAGGCCAUUUAAGAACCUUGCCAUAGUAGCUUCCCUAUCAUCUUCAAUAUUAGGCCUUAUCAUGGCUAUCUCCAUCUCUUUGUAGUAGUCUUCUACGCUCUUAUUCCCUUGUAUAAGGCCUUGCAAUUUUUGAUGUAAGUCCCUAUAGUAGU